AGUGAACGCUGGCGGUAGGCCUAACACAUGCAAGUCGAACGGCAGCACAGUAAGAGCUUGCUCUUACGGGUGGCGAGUGGCGGACGGGUGAGGAAUACAUCGGAAUCUACUUUUUCGUGGGGGAUAACGUAGGGAAACUUACGCUAAUACCGCAUACGAUCUACGGGUGAAAGCAGGGGAUCUUCGGACCUUGCGCGAUUGAAUGAGCCGAUGUCGGAUUAGCUAGUUGGCGGGGUAAAGGCCCACCAAGGCGACGAUCCGUAGCUGGUCUGAGAGGAUGAUCGGCCACACUGGAACUGAGACACGGUCCAGACUCCUACGGGAGGCAGCAGUGGGGAAUAUUGGGCAAUGGGCGCAAGCCUGAUCCAGCCAUACCGCGUGGGUGAAGAAGGCCUUCGGGUUGUAAAGCCCUUUUGUUGGGAAAGAAAAGCAGCAGGUUAAUACCCCGCUGUUCUGACGGUACCCAAAGAAUAAGCACCGGCUAACUUCGUG
This 492-nucleotide ribosomal RNA is filed under the name uncultured bacterium. RNAcentral's name for it is "partial 16S ribosomal RNA". It matches the Rfam family "Bacterial small subunit ribosomal RNA", at positions 29 to 507 of the family's 1533-position model. The record is from RNAcentral.